RNAcentral lists this transfer RNA (74 nucleotides) under Methanobacteriota archaeon. Its description in RNAcentral is "Euryarchaeota archaeon tRNA-Ala". It matches the Rfam family "tRNA". Rfam says of the family: Transfer RNA (tRNA) molecules are approximately 80 nucleotides in length. Their secondary structure includes four short double-helical elements and three loops (D, anti-codon, and T loops). The record is from RNAcentral. Lineage: Archaea; Methanobacteriati; Methanobacteriota.
GGGCGGGUAGAUCAGUCCGGUAGAUCGCUUCCUUGGCGUGGAAGAGGCCCCGAGUUCAAAUCUCGGUCCGUCCA